UACAUAGGGUACAAGCGUUGUCCGGAAUUAUUGGGCGUAAAGAGCUCGUAGGCGGUUGGUCGCGUCUGCUGUGGAAACGCAACGCUUAACGUUGCGCGUGCAGUGGGUACGGGCUGACUAGAGUGCAGUAGGGGAGUCUGGAAUUCCUGGUGUAGCGGUGAAAUGCGCAGAUAUCAGGAGGAACACCGGUGGCGAAGGCGGUUCUCUGGGCCGUACCUGACGCUGAGGAGCGAAAGCAUGGGGAGCAAACAGG
This 253-nucleotide ribosomal RNA is filed under the name uncultured bacterium. RNAcentral describes it as "partial 16S ribosomal RNA". It matches the Rfam family "Bacterial small subunit ribosomal RNA", at positions 524 to 776 of the family's 1533-position model. The record is from RNAcentral.